CUGAUACCAACUGUCACGGGGGAAGAUUUUGCUAACCCAAAACCAGCUCCCAACACUCGUGCAGCACUUGUUCUCUCAACAAGUCAGCCUCUCAAACUGUCCCUAGGAUCUCACGGAAACCAAUCUUACACUAGUCACCCAAAGAUCACGGCAACCAAUUCAAAGACAAAGUGUCUCAAGGAUCCUCACGGCAACAACCCAACACAAAGUGUCCCAAUGGCCGAAUCCAACUCAAGCAACAAGCAACCAAUCUCACGCAAGGCAACACAACAAUGCGCAACACUCAACAACCAUCAAAACACACAACAACCAUGCAAGCCAUACACAAACAAGCAAGCAUAAAGAAAAGUAGAAGCAUAGAGAAAUAAGGCAAAAGGGCUACUUCUUGUGUUGCUCAAAAGAUUGGUGACCCAAGGGGUUGGGACCAAUCCUCACCCUACUCUCACAACCCCUACGGCAAGGGUGGAGGUACUCAAGCCAAGCGCAGCCAAGGGAAAAGGAAGGGCUAGGGAGAAAAACUUCCACAGCCUGAAGGAGAACCGAAGAGGUGAAAGGCCAGUGUUGAAGCGUUUUCGGUGCAGGGGACCGCACA
RNAcentral lists this unclassified non-coding RNA (592 nucleotides) under Hevea brasiliensis (rubber tree). The record is from RNAcentral. Lineage: Eukaryota; Viridiplantae; Streptophyta; Magnoliopsida; Malpighiales; Euphorbiaceae.